GGUUGGAAAGUAUUAAAGUUUGUCAUAUUUUUGGAUAUAAUUAUCUUUUCUCUUUCCACAAAUUUAGCGGCUCCGAAAGAGUUCUCCUCGGAAAGAAAGAGAUGAUGUUGAACGGCGGUGCAAUGGUGGCAGCUUGCAGGGCUUUCGUCGUAAGGCCAAAUUGCUUAGCUUCCAACGUCAACACUGAACAGCUGCGUACUCAGCUCGACCAACUUCACGCUGAAGCUGAGACUACUCGAGCUAAAGCAAACAGUGCAAGAUUAAGACUUUUGCGUUUGUCGGAGGCAGCAGAGAAGCUUAAACGACAGGCAGCUAUUAGUGUUCAUAAUGGGAAGGAAAAUGAUGCAAUGGAUUUACUAUAUCAGAAGAAGAAGGUCAUGCAAGCCAUGGAGAAAUCAAAGAAUCGUAUUGAACUACUUGAUGAGCUGUCUGCCAAGCUUAUCGAGGCAAUAUCUGUAAAAGAAUCUCAAUUGAUUGGGAAUGUUGCUUCGGAUCUUGAUGUUGACAGAGAAGAUCCUACCAGACUAGUUCGAAUUAUAUCUCCAAAGCAAAAAGUUAAUGACACAAAUGAAGAUAAAGACUUUGAUCCUAAUGCCUUGAAACUUGGUGACUCUGAUUCUCAGGUUUUGCAGUUUUCAGCAGAUAGUCAGGCAAAUUCUCUCAUUGAUAGGGAGAGAGAUGAUUUUCAAGGAUCUGUAGUCAUGGACAAUGAUGCUGAGAAUAACGUAAGCAGUAGUCUGAGGGGAAUAUCCUCUUAUUAUAGCUUCUUAGAACAUCUGGAUGAACAGUUCAGUAAUAUUGAAACGGAACUUGUCACCAUUUUAAAUGUUUCAACCCUGAUACUUAAUAGCAAGGAGAAGCCUGAAAAUUUGAAGGUACAGCAAACAAUUGAACUUCUUGAGGGUGUCCGUGGCAUUAGAGGGAAAAUUGCGAGUUUCAUUCUAUCAAUGGUGGAGAUCAUUUAAAGCUUAAUUUUAUCAUACAAGUUUUCUGCACCAGAUUCCAUUGUGCCCUCAGAUAUUCAUCAAAAUCUUCUCAUUCAAGCUCUUAUCAUGAAUUCCAUGGGCAUUUGACUGCUUGGACUGGACACACUUGGUAGUGCCUGAUUUUAAACAGAAGCGUUGAUCCAUGAUUGGUGCAAUCUUUUUUUGCCACUAAAUCGAAGAAAUUUCUUGGUGAGAGCAGCUGCCAGUUAUGUUUCUGAAGUAUUUGAGAAAUGCAUGAUGAUUUUCAUUUGAAGGUCCCAAUAUAUAAUGGAAGUUACUCUGUUUCUUAGUGGCUGUCAAUAAGAAGUCCAAACUUGUAAUUCAUUACAUGUAUUUAUGUGUAACAAAGGCUCCUUUAGUAACCGUAGGCUUGACAGGCUCAUAAAUCUUGAGGAACAAAACUGUAAUUUAGAACUGUUUCUCAAUGAUUAUGAAUGCAUUCUA
RNA transcript from Mangifera indica (mango), 1430 nucleotides. RefSeq lists it as uncharacterized. The transcript has 6 exons. The record is from RefSeq and is a predicted model, not a curated record. Lineage: Eukaryota; Viridiplantae; Streptophyta; Magnoliopsida; Sapindales; Anacardiaceae.